GUCAAAAGCAUAUAGCCCGGCUGAACCCCGAAUACAUUCAGUUUGCCACCAGAGCUCGACUGGGGCACAACUCCCUUUUCGGAAUAAAUUAUAAAUAAAUUUUAUGUGAAGCAACGGGAUUUUAUUGGUAUAUUAGUGAAUAAUACUGACACUUCACCAUGAUUUGGUUAUUGCUCCAACAGAAGGGAAAUUGCACAUUAAACGAUUGAAGGACACAUAGGUUUAGGAGUCCGCUCUAUGCUUUUACAGGCUGAUGGUACCGGUCCCGUUGGACGUGUGGAUUGCAUCGGCUUUUAAUCAGAAACUAUAUGUAUAUCUAUUGUAAGAGAAACAAAAAAAAAAAAAAAAAAAAAUAUAACAGAUUAAGUUCA
Molecule: long non-coding RNA, 371 nt
Organism: Drosophila ficusphila
Lineage: Eukaryota; Metazoa; Arthropoda; Insecta; Diptera; Drosophilidae
Exons: 4
Source: RefSeq, a predicted model, not a curated record